AAGUCGUAACAAGGUUUCCGUAGGUGAACCUGCGGAAGGAUCAUUACCUAGAGUUGCGGGCUUUGCCUGCCAUCUCUUACCCAUGUCUUUGAGUACCUUUACGUUUCCCUCGGCGGGUUCCGCCCGGCCCGACUGGACAAUUUUAAACCACUUGCAGUUGCAAUCAGCGUCUGAAAAAACUUAAUAGUUACAA
RNAcentral lists this unclassified non-coding RNA (193 nucleotides) under plant metagenome. Its description in RNAcentral is "partial contains small subunit ribosomal RNA and internal transcribed spacer 1". The stretch from base 1 to 46 matches the Rfam family "Eukaryotic small subunit ribosomal RNA", at positions 1786 to 1831 of the family's 1831-position model. The record is from RNAcentral.